Molecule: ribosomal RNA, 440 nt
Filed under: uncultured bacterium
Lineage: Bacteria
Description: partial 16S ribosomal RNA
Rfam family: Bacterial small subunit ribosomal RNA
Source: RNAcentral
CCUACGGGUGGCAGCAGUGGGGAAUAUUGCACAAUGGAGGGAACUCUGAUGCAGCGACGCCGCGUGAGUGAAGAAGCAAUUCGUUACGUAAAGCUCUAUCAGCAGGGAAGAAAGUGACGGUACCUGAAAAAGAAGCCCCGGCUAAAUACGUGCCAGCAGCCGCGGUAAUACGUAGGGGGCAAGCGUUAUCCGGAUUUACUGGGGGUAAAGGGAGAGUAGGUGGCAGAGCAAGUCAGAAGUGAAAGCCCAAGGCCCAACCAGGGGAAUGCUUUAGAAACUGCUUAGCUAGAGUGCAGGAGAGGCAAGUGGAAUUCUUGGUGUAGCGGUGAAAUGCGUAGAUAUUAGGAGGAACACCAGUGGCGAAGGCGGCUUGCUGGACUGUAACUGACGCUGAGGCCCGAAAGCGUGGGGAGCAAACAGGAUUAGAUACCCGGGUAGUC